UACGGAGGGUGCGAGCGUUAUCCGGAAUUACUGGGUUUAAAGGGUGCGUAGGCGGCUAUGUAAGUCAGGAGUGAAAGUUUGCGGCUCAACCGUAAAAUUGCUUUUGAUACUGCAUGGCUGGAAUCAGGAUGAGGUCAGCGGAAUGUGGCAUGUAGCGGUGAAAUGCAUAGAUAUGCCAUAGAACACCAAUUGCGAAGGCAGCUGACUAGACCUGUAUUGACGCUGAGGCACGAAAGCGUGGGGAGCGAACAGG
Molecule: ribosomal RNA, 253 nt
Filed under: uncultured bacterium
Lineage: Bacteria
Description: partial 16S ribosomal RNA
Rfam family: Bacterial small subunit ribosomal RNA
Source: RNAcentral